AAAGUCUGACUAUUACACUUCCAGAUGAAGACUCCCCACGGAGGAUAGAAGUCUAUGGAUUUUUAACUUGUCUGCAAUUGCCCUUCCUGCCUGCCUGCUUGUCAUUUGUAGGUUUGGGGUUUUUUUAGUUUAGUUUUUUUUUUUUUUUUUAUGCAACUGAUAGUUUGUUUACAGAUUCUAAGUCAAAGCAAUGCAGAAUUCUGUUGGAUUUACUUUCAAUAGAUCUAAAACUGAUCUCAUCUCAUUAUUAAUAUCUUUUUCUAGGUAUGACUUAGACCUGCUAUUCUAUUCCAGUGAUUAUUUCAGGAGUGUGAAUGUGAAUCUGCCCAAGCCAUAGGGUCAAGAUCCAAUUUAGUUUCUUCCAGAUGGGUCACCACCUGGGAUAUAGCCAACCAGUAUCUCCAAGUGUAUCUCCUUGGUGAUGGUUCAAUAAUAAUUCAUGUACUGGCUUCCCCAGAUAAUGGUAUUUUCCCUCUUCAGCCUAUAUCCCUAUUUCAUGGAUUUUUUGGAAACCUAAUCACUGCUAACAAUUACCCCUCCCCACCUUAUUUAUAAAGCAUACAUCAUUUCUGUUUUGGAAACUUCAGUUUUAAAAUGCUGCUACACAGAGUGUCUACUAUCUAGAACAUCAGACUAGAAUAUGCUUUUGGGAAAACUGGUCUCGUCUACUCCAGGAAGAUAUUCUUAUCCUGUCACUAUAUGCAAGCAAACAAAUGCAAGCAAAUGUUUAUGGGAAAUACACUAAAAGUCUAUCUGCAUGACACCAAGAAAUCUAUUUUAACUGACUUUUCAUCCUGGAUUAAAUAUUAAUCUUAAUCUUAAAAUCGUAUGGAUAGAAGCACCAGAGUGACCCAACCUCAAAUCACACAGGCAUAUGUGCAGGUGCAUACAAACAUAUAUAUACAUGUACAUAAAUUACUUAACAGAAGGGAUUGGACUAUAUUAGCUUUUUCAUUAGGGAAAGGAACUGAUAUCAUUGAGCAUCUACUAUGUCUCAGCCUUACUGAUAGGUACGCAAACCACAUUAUCUUCAUCACAGUCUCACUACAGCUGUGAUUUCCCUGAUGAUAAAUCCAAGGAUCAGGGAUCAGGGAUCAAUGCAGCUUCUCUAAAUUGUGUAGAUAUUAAUAAGAGAAAAUGUAUCUUUCUUUUUUGUUUCCCUUUUUUUAAGCCAGCAUGCUGAUGGCAACUUGUGACCUGAUGGCCUAAAUAACUAAAAAAUAUAAAUAUUCUGCUGAGUGGUAAUAUUAGACAUUGAAAAAAUUACAGUUAAUUUUACAUGUCAUACAUGGAACACAAUAUGCUCUUCUCACCAUUGGAAAUUUAAUUUAAGGGCUCAGCUUUUCCAUUUCCACUUUUAAGGAGUUAUUUGCUAAUAACCUGUUAGUUUUAGACCACGUGGGAAAUUCGAGGGAGCAUAGUUCAUAGUGUUUCAACUCCAAAGCAAAUGCCAUUAUGAAAUUAAAUGUUCACAUGCAAGAUCCAAUAGAUAGUUGGGUUUACACAGAGGAGAUAUGGCUUUCUAAAGUAUUAUUUAUCACACUACUAAAUCACAAAGUAUUUCCUUAAAUCAUCAAAAUUUAAUACUCCAUCAAAUGAAAAAUUAAAAACUUGAAAAAGUUGCUGAUGGAGGACAGUAAUAUUAAGGGUCUCCUUUAAUAAAAUCCUUUGGGUUAUUUUAUUACUUCCAAUUCAAUUAAUUUCAGAGUGUCUUUGGCUAGAUCUUGCACCUGAGGUAAUUAGGUAAAGGUCACAGAUCACAAAUAAAACAAGCAAAUAUAAAUUACCUCUUAAGACUUCUUCCAUCAUUAUUGUGAGUGUAUUUCUAGAGCUUCACUCCAACACAAAUAUGCUGAAGAGAAAUGAGAAAAGUCCAAACCAUAUUCAUUCUUAAAGAAGCUAAGUACACAGAACAAUACACUUUGAAAAUAUUCCAAAACAAAUGGCUGGUUUGAGCAAAACAACUGGUGAAGUAAAAGGAAAACUCUAACCAUAAGGCUUAGUGUAACUGAAUCUUAAACUCCUGUCAUUUUCAGAAGAAUGUGUUGGAAUACUAUGGGCAGUAUGUCUUAGUAAAGCUGGGUCCAUACAAUUUUGGUCUGCUCUUAAAGAUUAAAAGAGUUAUCUCAUUCUACACUAUGUUCAAUCUGCAAACUUGAUAGAAGAGAGACAAUAUUAACUUUUUGGAAGAAAAGAAGAUUUUAAAUUGUCCCCUUAUGAUCCUGUGAAUUACAUAUGUACUAUAUUCAACAUUAUUUUUGCCUCUCAACUACAACUCAGAAAAGUGUUGGAAUAUUCAUAUAUAGAGUAAGGAAACUAGAUGUGAAAAAGAGCAUCCAGAAACAACUGGUCAAUCCCAGGUUCAAAGGAAACUUUUUUCAAAUGCUUGGAAUCACUCUUGGAAAAAGCAGAGGAUGAAAACCUCAAGCAAUUUGUUUUCUGUUUAUCUAUCAAAACCAAGACUUGGCUGAGGGAAUGUAUUUAGAAGAAUAUUCAUGAAGAAGUCUUAAAGAGCUCUGUAAUAACAAAUACAUUGUUCUCUCCUCCCCUCCUCCUUUCUCUCACUCCUCCUCCUUAUCAAACUCUUAUCUCUCCUAUAAAACAUGACUUUCCUUAGAGCAGGCAAUUUCAUCUGACUUCAUUCAAGACUAAACCUGGACAUGAACUCUCUUAAGGAAAAGUGUAAAUAUUCCUUCAAAUAUAUUUAUAUGUAAGAAAAUAUUUUGUUCUGAAACAUUUUCAUAUUUUCAUAAAAUCAUGUCUCAAGUAUGGAAAAAUGUAUACUUCUGACAUUUCUAUUUAACUGAAGUCCCUGUUUUCAUGGUGGGGCUCAGGUGUAGAGUUGAGCCACUCGAUGUGGCCUUUUCCUCACAGAAACAAGCAGAGGUUUUGCAUCUCAGAGCUUCAGUGAGACCCCAAUAGAAGAACACAUCAUAUGUGAAAAACUACUACAGAAAUGUGUUUAAGGGAACAAAAGACUCUUCCCAUUUCUAAAGAUCUCACAGUCCAAUGAGGACAAACAAAACCAAUGUGGCACCAUCUCAAGAUACAACUGUUGGCAAUAUUUAGAACAUGAAUUAGAGACGUCAAAAAUGUUUUAAAGAAGCAAUUGUUAAAAUAAUUUAUGUGUUGUGAUUCUAUUUUGUGAACUAUAAUUAGAAAUAGCAAUUGUUCAUUUCACUGAUUACACAGGGGGAAAAGGUCAGAUAAGGCCCUGUAAUAUUUUUUUUAUAUGUUUGGUCUGUAAGUAUAAUUUCAAAUUACUCAGCAGAAAAGCUCAUUUACAAAGUUGCACACUAGGGAAUAGUCUUGUUGCUGAGAUGGUUAGCACCAACAGGCUAUGCUGACAUAAACCAAAUUUUGGUGGUUCGAAUUUUGAAAUUCAAAUAAUCUCUUUUGAAAAGAGUAGCCGUGAAUGCUUGUAUACAAUAUUGUUAGGCCUGUUUACCAUCUUCUACACCAAAUGCAUUCAUGGGAAGUCCAAUCUGGGGUGAUUGAUUUAUGUUCUAGAAACAUGGUCUAGAAGAAUAGAGGGAUUCAGUGAAAUGGUGCGGCUGGGACAGCGCAUUGUCAGAACUGUCAAAUCUGGAUUCAGCAAGAUUAAAAAAAAAAAAGACAAUUUUGUGGCCAAUAAAGAGCAAAUUCACAUGAUCACCUGUAUGUCCUCAUGGAAGAACAUCUGCAUCAAGUCCAUACCACAGGCUCUCAACUAGAAUAAUGGAAAUGAAAGCACUUUGAAAAUUAUAAAAGAAGGAUAGGAUAAGCAGUGGAGUUAGCUAGAGCUCCUGCAAACUUAUUUGAGCCCCAAAGCAACACUCUUUAGUGAUUAUUUUGUUCCUCUCAGAAUAAUGGACUUAACUUGUAUGCAUAUGACUGUUCUCUGAAUUGCAGCAAAGGGAAUAUAAACUUUCUCAAGAAUGUUAUGGACUGAUGCUGAUAGACAGAGACUUUCCAAAAAAGAAAAACAGAUACAACAUGGUAUCAGAAUAAGAAUCUACCUAACUAGAGGUCUGAAUUUAGAAGUCAGUAAGAACAUUCUCUAUAUUCCUAGAAUGGCAUUAAAUUCUCUAGGAAAGAAGCCAAGUGUUAACACCUUAGCCAGGAAUAAUAAACCAGUCCCACUUUGGUACAUAUAAGAUGACCUGGAAGCUUAUUUUAAAAUACACUUUAUUUGGCCCUGCCCCAAGAGAUUCUCACUUAUUAUGGGAUUUUGAUGCCUUAGUCCUUGACCACACCUUGAAAACUACUGAGUCCUGAUCCCUCACUAGGACCUUUAAAGUCAUUAUUUACUUCACAAAUCGUAAUAAGCAACUAUAUGGAAAACUUCUUGUGGGUAAGCCUAUCUAAUCUUUGUACUCCACAAAUUAUUUAAACUUGGAUAAUGCCCCUAGGUAUCUGUUAAACUAAUGACCAAUCCCAAACUAAGGAAUAUAUCUUAAAUCUUCUGGUGAUGCCCAAUUUACCUAUAGAUCUGUCCUCACAAUAAGAUGACUAGUUCUAUUUGGGGUUUGGGUUUCUUUGUUUUUAAACACUUUUUCAGCUCAGUGAAAGGCACUGCAUUAAGUGUACUGGAUCAUAGAAUUAUCCCUUAUAUAUACAUAAUGCUUGAAAUUUCAAAAACAAGUCCACAGCCUAAUUUAAUAAUGAAAAAUAAAGGAGACCAACAUAUUCUUUCUGCCCUCUGGAGAUUAUAAUUUAGUGACAACAUACUAACAGAGAAACAUAUAAGAAAUAUAGAAUACAUAAUUGGAAGCCAAGUUGUAUGAUUUCAGACUACAAAUAACUGAGUGCUACAGAGAAAAGGAGGCAUUAAUGGGACCUGGAGUAAUCAAGGAGGACUUUGGAGGAAAAUUAGGACUUCUUUCAAGGAAGCAUUAGAUUCAGAUAUUUAAAGGAAAAACAAUACAUGUGGGAGAAAUAAGCUGAGUGGGGAUAGGGAGACACAAUAGAUCUUAGAGAAAUCUUCUGGACAUUAAGGAUAGCUACCCAAAACAUGUCCAUUUUAUGAGGGAUUAAUGAAGAAAGACAGCUAGUCCUUUAAUAUUUGCCACUACAAUAAAGCCCCAAGUAAGGGAAAAGUGAAUGAAGUCAAUUUAUAUCUGAUGAGAAAAUAUUCCACCCAUAUACUAUGAAUAUAAAGAGAAAAACAGCUUCUAGGUUAGCAUGUUUGUUUUCUAAUCUUUGUGAAUUUCAUUUAUUAUCUAUAGAAAAUAUACUACACUAUUUGUCUUAUAGGUGUUAUAAUUCUAAAAGUGUUCUUAUAGUCUUGAUUUUCCAAGUGAAAAAAUAUAUGUGUAUACACAUAUAUACAAAAUAUAUAUAUAUGUCUUUGUUUCUAUAUUAUAUUGUCACAAUAUAUUUAAAAGUAUUUAUACCUGUAUAUAUUAUUCAGGGGUCCUUCACAACUCUGGACUUAUCCAAUUAUGCUAAAUAUAGAAAUCAGAGCUAGCUCAGGGACCUAGGCCCUUCAUGAACUUAAACUUUAAGAUGAAAUCUAAAACUGAAGAGCAUGUAGUGUUUAGCUUCAGAUUACUUCUGACAACUUCAUAGACUUGCAUGUUGCUUAUGAUGUGCUCCUGAAUGCAUUGGCUUCCUUCUUAUCAGUUUUACAAAGUUGUGUGCUGACUCGCUUCAUCCCUUGGGAAUUCACUGUUGUGUCCUUGUGGGACAAAGACUCUUCUAUAAGAAAGUGCAGUAUUAUGUGUGCUGCUGUGGAAAACUAUGUGUCUGUUCCAAUAUGUGUACUGUGAGCAAUAA
This 5757-nucleotide long non-coding RNA is filed under the name Canis lupus familiaris (dog). RNAcentral's name for it is "lncRNA (ENSCAFG00000056226.1)". The record is from RNAcentral. Lineage: Eukaryota; Metazoa; Chordata; Mammalia; Carnivora; Canidae.